AUUGAACGCUGGCGGCAUGCCUUACACAUGCAAGUCGAACGGCAGCACGGGAGCAAUCCUGGUGGCGAGUGGCGAACGGGUGAGUAAUAUAUCGGAACGUGCCCAGUCGUGGGGGAUAACGCAGCGAAAGCUGUGCUAAUACCGCAUACGCCCUGAGGGGGAAAGCGGGGGAUCGCAAGACCUCGCGCGAUUAGAGCGGCCGAUGCCUGAUUAGCUUGUUGGUGGGGUAAAAGCCCACCAAGGCGACGAUCAGUAGCUGGUCUGAGAGGACGACCAGCCACACUGGGACUGAGACACGGCCCAGACUCCUACGGGAGGCAGCAGUGGGGAAUUUUGGACAAUGGGCGCAAGCCUGAUCCAGCCAUGCCGCGUGAGUGAAGAAGGCCUUCGGGUUGUAAAGCUCUUUCGCAAGGAAAGAAAACUCAUCUCCUAAUACGAGGUGAGGAUGACGGUACCUUGAUAAGAAGCACCGGCUAACUACGUGCCAGCCGCCGCAGUAA
This 500-nucleotide ribosomal RNA is filed under the name uncultured bacterium. RNAcentral's name for it is "partial 16S ribosomal RNA". It matches the Rfam family "Bacterial small subunit ribosomal RNA", at positions 29 to 523 of the family's 1533-position model. The record is from RNAcentral.